Molecule: long non-coding RNA, 3420 nt
Organism: Manis pentadactyla (Chinese pangolin)
Lineage: Eukaryota; Metazoa; Chordata; Mammalia; Pholidota; Manidae
Exons: 4
Source: RefSeq, a predicted model, not a curated record
UCUCGGGUGAUGUUUGCUGGUCUGGUUAGUCACAGGCUGGAGAAGUCACACCCAGCAGGGCUGGCAGUGAGUUUAUAAAGAAGUUAGGGGGAGGGAGAGCAUAGGUCUACAGUGGCACAAGGAUUGGCUAGCCUAAGGCACGUGUCAUUGGCCUUUACAGUAGACAAAGGACCAGAAAGUUAUUACUCCUUUUCUAGGUUGGGAGGAAGCAGCAGCUGGGGAUUUUGGCACGUCAUCAGGCCAGAAUCUGUUGGUCUCUUUCCCUUACUAGGCUGGGGUUGGGGGCUUUGCUGCCCCCUUUCCUUAUUUGGUGAGGGCUGAGCUCAUCUGAUGUGCUCCCCCCUCCCUCCAGUGCCUCCAGCCUUACAUUCCAGCCUUUUGGUUAUAAUGGGCACUGACUCAAUAUGGCUACUUCUGGCUGAGGAGGGGCAGUGUGGGCAGGGUUAAGGCUGGUGGGAGGCCAGAGGAAGCUUGGAGGGAAGGGGUGAGUACUGAUGUACUAGCAUAGUCUUGUGCACCUCUACCAUCUGACCUCUCUAUCGGUGGCCGGAGGUUCCAGCAGAUAUAUUGUCCUUGUCUCUCAGGACUGACAUAUCCAGCAUGAUUACCCAGGCUUCGCCCUGUCCAGUACUGUUGUCUGGAAAAUGAGAGACAGACCGAGACUCGUUCAUAGCAGGCAGCCUGGACAAAGGAAUGGAAAGAUGAGCAUUGGGUGGGACAAGCGGGUAUCUUUCCUUGGGGAUUUGGUGGAGGGUCUCGUACCUAGCAAAUGGUCUUGCUGACUCCUCUUGGGCAGCCAGUUUGGAAAUCUCUUAACAUUACAGUGGCCCAGUACAAUUGUUCUCCCUGCUGACAAGGUACUUUUUGAAAGCAUGUCCGGGGGACCAAUUGGUGUAGUUGGAGCAUACUUGAUAUGACUCACUGGUUACAGACACAGUUUGCCAGAGCCAGAUGGGUCAUUGUGGCCAGCACCAGUGUGAGUAAGGCACAAAUGGGGGGGCCCUGUCUCUCUAGACCUCCACCUAUCAUGACUAGGUGCUUGUUUGAGCCUGGAGAUGUGGUACAACAGAGAGUGUCCCAAUAGCUUGGCAGCCGUGGGAGUGGUAAGGAUCACCAUGUAUGGUCCCAUCCACCAUGGUUGGAGUUCUUUAAGAAGGACUUUGUCUCCCAGCUGUAGAACCUCCGUGAUUCCUGGAUCUGAGGGGGAGGUGGGUUGAGGCAGCAACUGGUCUGCGUGUUCCCUGAGGAGAUGUCUUAGGGGUGAGAAGUAAGGGCUCAAAAGAAAUGUGAUCAGACCAGAAACAAGGCUUUGUGACGGGAGGAAUGUCAGUAAGGAUGGAAGCACCACAGUAUCUGCUCCUUCGUGCCAGCUGUACAGUGGUUUCCUCUUCCUGAGCCAGCCGUUUUGUGCAGUGUCCUCUGCCCUUUUCCUAAUUCCAACAUACUCCUACCCAUAACUGGAUUCUCUAGGGUGGGCAGGUGUGGGGAAUAAAAUUCAUAUGUUCCCUUAGGGGCGAGUAUUGGGAUUCAGCUGGCUAGUUUAAAAAUGUCUUCCCCUCCCAUUCUGAUAGGCUCUAGAGGGGUAUGUGGCCUCCUCCCUAUGAAGCUGGUGACUUAAGACUAACACAGGAAAUAAGAAAGAAAAAAAAAAGGUUAAGCUGAAGCUAAUUUAAAUGAUCUUUGGAGUUUGGAGCAGUUGAGUAACAAGAAAUGGGGCUUAAGACAGCUGAGCCCUUAAUGAGGUUGGGACUUCCCAGGUAGAGAGGAAAGGGAUUGGUUUAUAGGCAUCUGGAGGAAGCAGAAAGUGAAGGAAGUUUAAAGAGACAGGAAGUACACAGGGAUAGUGAAGCCACACUGCAUAGGCACAGUAGUUUAGAUGCGUUAGGCCUUAGAAAAGCAAAGGUUUUUGAACAAAAGAGUGACAUAGUUUAGUGCUGAAUAAAGGAUUAAUCUGGCAACAGUGUUCAUUUUAAAUUGAAGGGGACAGGGUGAGGGGAGUGGAGUGGGAAGGACAUUUGAGCCAGGCUUGGGCCUCGUUAUCAGGUCACCACUGUGACACAAGCUGGGAGGCCUUGUGUAAGUGCUUGGCCUGGCUGAGCCUCUGUUUCCUCAUCUGUAAAACGAUGUGUCAGAGGUUUCUGGAAGGAUUAAUCAUUCACUAAGUAUUUUACUGGGUUUCUAGAAUGUGCCAGAUACUUUGCUAGGUGUUGGAUACAAAAAUGGAUAAAAAAAAGACAGUCUCUGUCUUCCAGGAUCUUAUCAUCUAGUAGAGGAGGAUAGACAAUAAAAAAGUUAGUAAACAGAAUAAACCCGCAAAGCGUGAUAAGGUGAUAGUGUGUAUAAGGUAGGCAGGAGAGGCAUCUACUUUUCAGUCAAGGGGUCAGGGAAAGUCUGAGGACGUGGGGUUGACUGAGACCAGAGUAUUGUGACGGAGACUGUCAGGCAAAGAGCAAAAAGAGGAAUAAUAUGUUCAGGGGGCAGGAAAAGUUUGGUGAGUUCCCAGAACUGCAAAGAACCCUAGAGACAAGGGAUGCACUGGGGGAGAAAGGCACUGAGAUGGAAAGGAGAGCGGUGGCUGGAUCUUGGUGGCAAUCUGGCUUCUAUUCUAACUGAAAUGGUUUAUUAUGCAAAACAACCUUUGGAUUUGACAUUCCUGCAAGACUCCCUCUUGGAUUAUUCUCUGGCUCCAAAUGACACAGCCUGUAAGUGAGAGACACAGCCUGUUCAUGAAUCCAUCCAGGUUUCUGGGACAUCAUGCCCAGCCCAGGGGUUCAGGACCCUGUGCCUCCUAGUCUACAAAGUUGAUCAGAGUUAAUUGGAUAAAUCAGAAGUUUCUUAAGAAGAUUUUUUCUUUUCUCUGACUCCUGAGGACUUAUACCAAUUUCUCACUCAUGACAGAAAUUCAGUAAACAUUUGCUGAAUAAAUGAAAUUAAUGGAUGGAUGGAUUAAAAUUAAGUAUAUGCUAAUAAGAAUAUGACUUGAAAGUAGUUUGAAAUUCUUAAGGAAUAUGCUGACUUUUACCGGACAAGGAUCUGAGAAGAUGGAGCCUUCAACCCUGGCAUGAGCCAACGGCUUCUCUUGGGAAGUCCAGCCCAUUUACUCCAGGCCUGAUUCAGGCGACAGCCCUUCCCACAGAGUUUGUGAGGUGGCUAGAUCAGGUUCACCAAGGCAGGCUCCUUAUAUGUGGAAUACUGUGUGGCUUGUGAGUGACCUCAAGCAAUUGGAUUUUACUUAUCAUAAAAUAUUUUCUAGUUCUGGAAGACAUUAAGUUCUCUGAAAUUAAGACUGUGUAAAAUUAUUUUUAAAAGCAACAAUUACCAGAGGCCAAUCUUUCUAUCAUCAGCACAUACCAGAAGCCAAUCUAUCAUCAGCACAUAUCAUUCUUUCUUUAAAAAGAUCACUUCAACACAAGAGCCCAU